This 484-nucleotide ribosomal RNA is filed under the name uncultured bacterium. RNAcentral's name for it is "partial 16S ribosomal RNA". It matches the Rfam family "Bacterial small subunit ribosomal RNA", at positions 30 to 507 of the family's 1533-position model. The record is from RNAcentral.
AUUGAACGCUGGCGGCAGGCCUAACACAUGCAAGUCGAGCGGAUGAAGGGAGCUUGCUCCUGGAUUCAGCGGCGGACGGGUGAGUAAUGCCUAGGAAUCUGCCUGGUAGUGGGGGAUAACGUCCGGAAACGGGCGCUAAUACCGCAUACGUCCUGAGGGAGAAAGUGGGGGAUCUUCGGACCUCACGCUAUCAGAUGAGCCUAGGUCGGAUUAGCUAGUUGGUGGGGUAAAGGCCUACCAAGGCGACGAUCCGUAACUGGUCUGAGAGGAUGAUCAGUCAAACUGGAACUGGGAACAGGUCCCAAAUCCUAAGGGAGGGAGCAGUGGGGAAUAUUGGAAAAUGGGCGGAAGCCUGAUCCAGGCCUGCCGGGUGUGGGAAGAAGGUCUUCGGAUUUUAAAGCACUUUAAGUUGGGAGGAAGGGCAGUAAGUUAAAACCUUGCUGUUUUGACGUUACCAAAAGAAUAAGCCACGGCUAACUUCGUG